AUUUGUAGGAAAGCAGAAGUAAUCACUUCAUUUGCAAGAUGCGGUUUUUAUUUCACGGGCAGGACUGUUCCGGGAGGGGAAAACAGCUCCGCUCCAUCCCACGCAGUGCGCUCUGCCCCAUGCAGCACCAUUUACACACAGCACUGGGCGCGUUUGGGCCACCCUGGGCCACCCGGAGCCCUGGCCACAGCCAGAGCAUUCUCCCCCCAGUGUCCCCUUCCCCAUCCCACCACCCACUCAGUGGUCAGGCAGAAAUGAGGAGGGGGCUGCACCUGCCUCCCGUGCUGGGGACACACCCGGGGAUGUCCAUGUGGAGCUGUCAGCAUGGGGCACCUCCCACCCGAGAAAGGCAAACCCCGGGCAGCCCGAAGCCCCGAGCAGACACACUGCACCCACGCAGAAGCUGCUCCACGUGCCCACCAGGCCAUNNNNNNNNNNNNNNNNNNNNNNNNNAAAUCCAGCCACAGCGUGAGUGCCAGAGUUUAUUGGCAACGCGCAGAGAUGCCAGGGGGAGGGACGCAGAGGGGUCAGGAGGCAGCACCCCGGGGUGCCCGUGCUUGGGUCAGGCAGGGCUGUAGGAGCACCCAGGCUGUCCCCUCGGUCCUAGGGCCCCACGCAGGUGUAGGUGGUGUUCCCCCAGAGGAAGGCGGGGAUGGAGGACCGGAGCCACUGCAGGCCACGUAGGAGCUGCUGGAACGCUGGAGGAGGAGGCGCCUGCAGGGGAGAGCGGGGUGAGGGGGGGGCUCAGUGGGGUGCGAGGGGCUGGCCCACCCCCAGCUCCUCCAGAGGGGGAGCAGAGGCCGUGGGGGUGCUGGGGGGCAGAGCUCGCCCUCCCCGUGGAGCAUUGCCCCUGGCAGCCUCCUCUUGGUGAGGAAGUGAGCUGUGAUCCCUGCGCACCCAGUCCCUGCCUGCUUUGGAAAUCCUCUUUUUGGAUCCCAGGAACCUCCUGAGGUGGCUCAGCACCAAAUGCACCUUGCUGGGAACUCAGUUUUGGGGGACCCUGCCCCCGGCCCUCACCCAGCCCUUGCUCGUCCCCAAGCAGGGCACAGGCACUGGGGACGUGUCCCUGUUAUCUUCCCUUCCCUAAAACGCCCCCGUGCUGCUUUGGGAAGCGGAGGGAUGGCCAAGAGGGCGAUCAUGUCCCUGCCUGCAGGCUGGCUGUCCCCCUGUCACCUCCCGGAGCCCUGGUUUUGGGCUUUCAGCCGUGCUGGCUGGAGACAAGCUGCGAGGCUCACCCCUUCAGCAGGGUGCCGUCCAGCCACUUCCACUCAAACCUGGAGCUGUCCCGCUUCAGCCCCACGUGGAAGACGUCCAGAUGGGUCACGCGUGCCAGGAAAGCCUAGAGCAGGAGGGAACAAGCCUCUUCUUGGCAGAGGAGAAGUAGUAGCAGCGCCCCGCGUCCCCGAUCCAUCCGGCCGGGCAGAACUGGCAGCUCUCUGCACACCAGAAGCACGAUCCUGCAGGGCUGGCCGGGACGGGGCUGUCCCCAGCCCUCGGCACCGCGGUGACAGGGGGCAGCUGGGGUGCCACGAGGGCAGGGAGCCCAGGAACCUGCCUGGAAGCUCUCCUACCUCGCAAAGACUGCUGCACAUAGCGGAGGCUCUCCUCCUCUCUCUGGGCACAGCUCGCCUGCUGGGCUAAAUCUACAGAAGAAAGGCACGGGAGCGUCCCCCACCAGGGGCCGGUAGCACCCAGGGGGUGCCAUCCCCCUCCCUCGGUGCCGUGCCAGCCCAGCUGGACAAAGCCCUCGCCGUCUGUGCCCAGCACAUGGCAGGUUUCUGCCUUUUGGCCCCAGCGUCACGUCCUGUCUGCACGCCGUGGCCAGCUGAUGGAGCGGGGUGCCCCGGCGCCGUCCUCGAGCCCACGCUUUCCCCUCUCCCUCCUCUUCAGCGCUCCAGCCGGCCAGGCAAGGGGUGUUUUAUUUUUACUCACCACUUUUCCCACUCGCCCCACAGCCCAGAAACCUGCGGCACCGUCAGCCCCAAGCGGGAGGGUCCCCAGCUCGGGGGCUGGAUGGAUGGGGGCGCACAAGGGGGUACUCACAGUGGAAGCUCAAGCCGACGAGGACGAUUUGCACCAGCAGGAGCAGCAGGGACAAGACACCCAGGCUGAGGGCUGCCCAGUGCCAGGGCAGCCUCACGGGCUGCGGAGGAGCUGAGAGAGGGAAUUACCCCACGUCCUGGGGGCUUGAGGUCGGGGGCAGAACCCCCAAAUCAGCAAAGGUCUGUGAGCCCCAAGCAGGGGGCGUGGGGGUCCCCAGGCUCCCCAGGGACAGCAGAGCAGUGGUGUGAGCCGGAGCAGUGACACUGGGGGGGAUGAUGGGGGGGUGCCAAUGCAGCUGGGGUGCAGUGCUUGUGUCCCCCCCUGCUCCGAGAGCAGCUGCAUGGGCAAGGAGGGAGCAGGGCUGGGGGGCACGGCCCUGCAGAGGGGCUGCUGGAUUUUGGGGGGCAGGCAGGGAUGGGGGGGGGACAGCGGGGUGCAGCGUGCCGUUACCUGGUACGGGGGCAAGCGCAGAUCUGCGUACGUGACCCCCUCUUCCAUCCUUCCCUCGGUCUCUGGCCACGCACCCCGCAGGUAGGGGGGAGCAGCAACCCCCUCCCGGCCCCCUCUG
Anser cygnoides (Swan goose) is the source of this 2611-nucleotide long non-coding RNA. The record is from Ensembl. NCBI's taxonomy places the organism in Eukaryota, Metazoa, Chordata, Aves, Anseriformes, Anatidae.